AACGUACGCUGGCGGCACGCCUAACACAUGCAAGUCGAGCGAGGUAGCAAUACCUAGCGGCAGACGGGUGCGUAACAUGUGGGAAUCUGCCUUUUGGUUCGGAACAACACGGGGAAACCUGUGCUAAUACCGGAUAAGUCCUUACGGAGAAAGUUUUAAUGCCAAAAGAUGAGCCCGCAUUUGAUUAGCUAGUUGGUGAGGUAAAAGCUCACCAAGGCGAUAAUCAAUAGCUGAUUUGAGAGGAUGAUCAGCCACACUGGGACUGAGAUACGGCCCAGACUCCUACGGGAGGCAGCAGUGGGGAAUCUUGCACAAUGGGCGAAAGCCUGAUGCAGCGAUGCCGCGUGAGUGAAGAAGGCCUUUGGGUUGUAAAGCUCUUUUGUCGGGAAAGAUAAUGACUGUACCCGAAGAAUAAGGUCCGGCUAACUUCGUGCCAGCAGCCGCGGUAAUACGAAGGGACCUAGCGUAGUUCGGAAUUACUGGGCGUAAAGAGUAUGUAGGCGGCUAGAUAAGUUAAUUGUGAAAGCCCAAAGCUUAACUUUGGAAUUGCAAUUAAAACUAUUUAGCUGGAGUAUGAUAGAGGAAAGCGGAAUACAUAGUGUAGAGGUGAAAUUCGUAGAUAUUAUGUAGAACACCAGUUGCGAAGGCGGCUUUCUGGAUCAUUACUGACGCUGAGAUACGAAAGUAUGGGUAGCGAAGAGGAUUAGAUACCCUCGUAGUCCAUACCAUAAACGAUGAUUAUUAGAUGUGGGGAAUUAUUUCUCUGUAUCAUAGCUAACGCGUUAAAUAAUCCGCCUGGGGAGUACGACCGCAAGGUUAAAACUCAAAUGAAUUGACGGGGACCCGCACAAGCGGUGGAGCAUGUGGUUUAAUUCGAAGCAGCGCGCAGAACCUUACCAACCCUUGACAUGUUCGUCGCGAGACUAAGAAAUUAGUCUCU
Molecule: ribosomal RNA, 940 nt
Filed under: uncultured bacterium
Lineage: Bacteria
Description: bacterial SSU rRNA
Rfam family: Bacterial small subunit ribosomal RNA
Source: RNAcentral